This 232-nucleotide ribosomal RNA is filed under the name uncultured bacterium. Its description in RNAcentral is "partial 16S ribosomal RNA". It matches the Rfam family "Bacterial small subunit ribosomal RNA", at positions 99 to 334 of the family's 1533-position model. The record is from RNAcentral.
CGAACGGGUGAGUAAUACAUCGGAACGUGCCCAGUAGUGGGGGAUAACCCGGCGAAAGCCGGACUAAUACCGCAUACGACCUACGGGUGAAAGCAGGGGAUCGCAAGACCUUGCGCUAUCGGAGCGGCCGAUGUCAGAUUAGCUAGUUGGCGGGGUAAGAGCCCACCAAGGCGACGAUCUGUAGCUGGUCUGAGAGGACGACCAGCCACACUGGGACUGAGACACGGCCCAG